RNAcentral lists this unclassified non-coding RNA (507 nucleotides) under Chrysocephalum eremaeum. RNAcentral's name for it is "partial external transcribed spacer". The record is from RNAcentral. Lineage: Eukaryota; Viridiplantae; Streptophyta; Magnoliopsida; Asterales; Asteraceae.
AUCAUUUUGGCUAAUUACUGUUUUCCUUGCGUAUAAGCUCGGUUGGUGGUUAUUAGCCUUUUGGUUCCGGGGAUGUCUACCGUAAAGGUGCAUGAGUGGUGUUUGGUUUGUUACCGGUGGUUGGCUCUUUGCUUACGCAACCAACUUCCACCUGGCAUUCCUUUUCAGUUUUGUUUCAAUGCUUGUAUCGCGUUGAACGCACGAUGGGUUUCUUGUGUUUCAUGCCUAAUUGACGGUAUCGUUUGACGAAUCAAUAAUUUGUUUCGUCUUGUGUCGCACGUGCGAUGCGAGAUGAACCCUAAAGCAACCUUUGUGAUCCACAAUUUUGAUGCGUACGCAUGGAUAUUGUGGCUCAUUUAGUGUUCGCUUGGUCUCAUGGAUAUGGAACCUUGUGUGGGCAUGUGAUCUUUCACUAGAUCCUUGUUUGCCCAAGCUAAGCUUUUUCAAAUACGAUUUUCCCAUCACGUCUUGACGUGGUAGGACAUAUCGAAUAUGAAUGCUACCUGG